Melanotaenia boesemani (Boeseman's rainbowfish) is the source of this 164-nucleotide long non-coding RNA. RefSeq lists it as uncharacterized. The transcript is spliced from 4 exons. NCBI's taxonomy places the organism in Eukaryota, Metazoa, Chordata, Actinopteri, Atheriniformes, Melanotaeniidae. The record is from RefSeq and is a predicted model, not a curated record.
CAACACUGUAUUGUCUCAGUCAUCAUGAUAAGGUACUGGAAUAUUACAGGACUUCAAUGCAAUGGGAGCUGACCAAGAAAAUGCAACCAAAAUAAUGGCAAUGGAAGAAUUUCAAUCAAAACAUUAUAAUACAACGUCAGUGUUAACUUCAGAACUAGAGAUAA